ACCACUAUAGUUCAGCGGUAGAAUCGCCCACAAACAGUCGAAACCCGACUUAGGGUGGACGAGGGUUCAACUCCCUCUAGUGGCA
This is a non-coding RNA of Mycena crocata, 85 nucleotides long. NCBI's taxonomy places the organism in Eukaryota, Fungi, Basidiomycota, Agaricomycetes, Agaricales, Mycenaceae. The record is from the annotation of a GenBank genome assembly.